UCUUGCAAAUCAGUCCAGGGAGUUCCUUCAUCAUAGAUAAUGUUGUUUGCUCAUUUGUUUAGGUCGUAGCUCAAGGAGAGUUGUAUGUCCUCUCUCUCUCUGUGUUUUCAGGCUGGAAUCAUUGGCAGCAGCUAGAGUCUCAGGACAUGAAUGUCCACUGAAGCGAAUGUCUUGGAGGGGUUGGUAGAAAGUUGUUUUGUUGAUGAAGAGAAGAAUAAUGUCUGUAUGUGGGAUGACGGGACCAGGGCUUGGUCUGUCUGUGUUCCUGUUGGCUCUGCUUCAUCUUCAAUGCUCAGCCCAGAAAAACUACACUACGCUACCAAAUAACAUAACAGUGACUGUUGGCAAGCCUGCUGCCUUCCAGUGUGGUGUGUCCCCUCCUCCUAGACAACUCAACUUCACCCUCUAUGGUAGCCAUGGAAACAGAACCCUUAUCUGCCCAGGAGACCACACUGAGUACCUUGCUGCCCAGUCAAUAAAAGGGUACUGUGAUAACACAGGUAAGGAGCUCUUUGCAAUAUGGCUUAUCAGUGGGACGUCCCGCUCUGACAACAACACACGUGUGGUAUGUCAGAGCUCAGAGCGACCACUAGUGGAUGGAUACCUCGGGGUGUACGAGGACGGCAGUUACUUUGCCACCCUCAUUGGCUGCGUCAUUGGUGGUUUCUUUGGUAUCCUCAUCGUCAUUGGUCUGUCAUACACUGUGCUCAGGAGAUCUGAGAGGUUCCAGCUCUGUUUCAGGGGAAAAGACCGUGAGGAUGACAUCACCACAAUGAGAGCAGGACGUCUGAGUAGCUGUCUAAAGUGUUCCAGUGGAGGAUCAGUAGAGGUGGUGCGAUGUUGACUCAGCUGGCCUGCUAUGAUCUGUGUGUUUUAGGUGACAACAAAAAGGAGGGGCUAUUCCUCAAGGUAAAAGGAAAGAGAAAAGACUAGGUGUGUGAAGUCAGCAGGACGACCUGAGCUACACAGCAGACAUCCCCAGACCCCUUGCCAAGACAGACCUCGUUCUCAGUCAGGUUGUGUACAAGAUGAGCCAAUUCUCAGUUCUGGUUAUGCUGGCAGUUCUCUGUGCAUUCUUCGUGGAAAUUGAAGCAAAUCCAUUUGUUUACAACUAUGAGAGACUACGAAUUGGAGGCCUGAUCAUUGCAGGCUUGCUUGUAGCAGGUGGAUUGUUUGUCCUACUUAAUCCCAAAUGCACUAGAAAGAACAAAAAAUCUGAAGAUGACACAAGUGAACUCUAAGCAUCUCUGAUGGAAUCUGACUAACUGGUUGCUGUUGUUCUAAUGAUGAAGAUUCGGGGGUGGGAAUGGGGCAGGGCUCUGUCCAUGACAAUGUAAUGACACCUGAAUGGAUGUGAAAGCGGAUGGAGGGUGGACCACAAUGCAUCUAUUUACUGUUUUGUUUCUUUAUUGGCAAAAAGAAAUGGGUUUAUUUUAAGGUGUUUUACGGUGGUAGUGAGAUGUAUGAAUGAACAACUGAAAUACAUUUCAUUUAGCUAUAGGCUCUAGGCAUUAUGGUCAAACAGAGUUGUAUUGAGCUAAAACGAUUAGCCUUCAAUUGUUUGUGUAAAUUCUUAUUAAUGAAAAGCCAAAUAAAUACCAUGGAACACCAUUGUUAGAAAUAAACAACAUGUUGUUUACUGUUUGUGUUCAGAGAUGUGCACUGUGCAUGCUCUCAAGAUACAAUAUGUAACCAAAGCAGGUACUGUACACAACUAUUUUGAAUAUAUUGAUGUGAUAAUGUUCGAUUUGGUAUCUGCCAUAUCACCGUUUUUAUAUAGGCUAAUGAUAUAGGCUAAUGAUUUGUUAUAGCAACAACAGGUCAUUGAAAGCAACCAAUGACAAACAAAGAAUAAAAUCCUCCUCCUAUCCAACGCAUGCAACUUCAAUUUAAACUCAGCCUAUUUUCAAGCUGAGCAAACCUGUUGAGCGUCAGUGAAAAAGGGUGUUGGCGUCUGUCUGAUUUAAGAGUACGUUCGUCUAUUGUGUGUCGCUACAUGCCCGACAUUUCCUGGUUUUCCCCCUACACACAUCUCCAUUUGGGUUUAACGCAUGUCGGAGGUGAAAGAGAGUUUGAAGAUGGCGAAUAUCUCUGCUUUGCUUUUAUUGACAUCAGUUGCGUCCCUUGUGUUCGCAGAGGAGCAGAAAGAAAUGGAGGUGGAGGAUCCAUUUACCUUUGAUUAUCACAGGCUACGUGUUGGGGGUUGAUCCUGGCAGCAGUUCUGUGUCUGAUUGGCAUCACCAUCCUCUUCAGCGGACACUGCAGAUGCAAGUUCAACCAGGACAAAAGGAGGAGGUCAGGAAGCAACGCUGCCCAGCCACUCAACGACCAAGCUCGGGCCAGUGAGUGCUAGGAACCAAAUGCCCACCUGGCAGCAGGUCAAAUCGACUUCCUGGUUCAAGAGAUAAUCAAGAGAUAAAAAUUGAUGGGUGGAGUUGGCCUGUUUUUUGUCUGAUGGAGGUUGUUUUUUGGAGAUCAGAGGUGUGCUGCUUUUACCUGUGUUGCUGUUCUCCCUUCUGCCCAUUACUCCUGUUUCUGCUCUGCCCAAUAUUUACACUGUAACUCGCCACCAACAAGCCCACACAGACAGACAAAGCAGGACACGAUUUUUCCCCCAUGUUCUUUGUAUUUAAACAAAUAACCAAAAGAUGCUGUGUGUCGAUUCACUUAUUUCAUUGCAAUGUUUUUCACCUUUAGUGACUCCAACUGUAUGUGGAAAUGAUGUGGUAGAUUUGACUGUUGGUGUGUGUUUUGAAUUGCCAUACUGUCUCCUAAUAAUCUUUCAUGCAUAUACUUUACUGUAAAAUAGGUACCGGUAGCCAUAAACUAUUAUAAUGUCAAUAACUAUUCACACACCUUUAACUUGAUUAUUCCUAUAUUAACUUUUUAGUUGAAUGUAGAAAAGUGCACUGGUCUAUGCAGUAGAAUAUGUUGUAUGAUAAAUGCAAUGUUUUUGAAUAAUACAGAAUGUUAAAAUGAUUUCAAUAAGCGGAUGAUAUAGUCUUGUUUGAGAGUGUUUGCCACCAAAACAAAAUGCAUGUUAUUUUAGUUUGCUAGAUACCACUCAAACAAUUACAGUCCCUGAAGAGGGUUUUCUCCCCAAUUGGCUUUUAAUGAGUCACGUCUAAAUUGAGAUGUCUCUUGCCAAAUGAAUAGAUGGUGUCUAUGUUUGUAAUUCAAAUUAAAAGUUACCUUCUA
Molecule: RNA transcript, 3198 nt
Organism: Oncorhynchus masou masou (cherry salmon)
Lineage: Eukaryota; Metazoa; Chordata; Actinopteri; Salmoniformes; Salmonidae
Exons: 20
Source: RefSeq, a predicted model, not a curated record